This 528-nucleotide ribosomal RNA is filed under the name uncultured bacterium. RNAcentral's name for it is "bacterial SSU rRNA". It matches the Rfam family "Bacterial small subunit ribosomal RNA", at positions 985 to 1516 of the family's 1533-position model. The record is from RNAcentral.
CAUUGAGUGAAAGUCUUAGAGAUAAGACCCUUCUUCGGAACACGAAAACAGGUGCUGCAUGGUUGUCGUCAGCUCGUGUCGUGAGAUGUUAGGUUAAGUCCUGCAACGAGCGCAACCCUCAUAUACAGUUGCCAAUAUUCAGUUAGGAACUCUGUAUAGACUGCCGUGGUUAACACGGAGGAAGGUGGGGAUGACGUCAAAUCAUCACGGCCCUUACGGCCUGGGCUACACACGUGCUACAAUGGCUAUUACAAAGAGUUGCAAUACAGUAAUGUGGAGCGAAUCUCAAAAAGAUAGUCUCAGUUCGGAUUGUGGGCUGCAACCCGCCCACAUGAAGUCGGAGUUGCUAGUAAUCCCGAAUCAGCAUGUCGGGGUGAAUGCGUUCCCGGGUCUUGUACACACCGCCCGUCACGCCAUGGGAGUUGGGAGUGCCCAAAGUCGGUGACCUAACCGCAAGGAAGGAGCCGCCUAAGGUAAUACCAAUGACUGGGGUGAAGUCGUAACAAGGUAGCCGUAUCGGAAGGUGCG